UAGGGAAUCUUCGGCAAUGGACGAAAGUCUGACCGAGCAACGCCGCGUGAGUGAAGAAGGUUUUCGGAUCGUAAAACUCUGUUGGUAGAGAAGAACGUUGGUGAGAGUGGAAAGCUCAUCAAGUGACGGUAACUACCCAGAAAGGGACGGCUAACUACGUGCCAGCAGCCGCGGUAAUACGUAGGUCCCGAGCGUUGUCCGGAUUUAUUGGGCGUAAAGCGAGCGCAGGUGGUUUAUUAAGUCUGGUGUAAAAGGCAGUGGCUCAACCAUUGUAUGCAUUGGAAACUGGUAGACUUGAGUGCAGGAGAGGAGAGUGGAAUUCCAUGUGUAGCGGUGAAAUGCGUAGAUAUAUGGAGGAACACCGGUGGCGAAAGCGGCUCUCUGGCCUGUAACUGACACUGAGGCUCGAAAGCGUGGGGAGCAAA
Molecule: ribosomal RNA, 425 nt
Filed under: uncultured bacterium
Lineage: Bacteria
Description: partial 16S ribosomal RNA
Rfam family: Bacterial small subunit ribosomal RNA
Source: RNAcentral